AAUAGAUACCUGGGUAGUCCACGCCCUAAACGAUGCUCACUAGGUGUUGGGGAAGCGAUUCCUUGGUACCGUAGCUAACGCGUGAAGUGAGCCGCCUGGGGAGUACGGCCGCAAGGUUAAAACUCAAAGGAAUUGACGGGGACCCGCACAAGCGGUGGAUGAUGUGGAUUAAUUCGAUGCAACGCGAACAACCUUACCUACCCUUGACAUGUCCGGAAGCCUGCUGAAAGGCGGGGGUGCUCGAAAGAGAACCGGAACACAGGUGCUGCAUGGCUGUCGUCAGCUCGUGUCGUGAGAUGUUGGGUUAAGUCCCGCAACGAGCGCAACCCUUGUCCCUAGUUGCUACGCAAGGGCACUCUAGGGAGACUGCCGGUGACAAACCGGAGGAAGGUGGGGAUGACGUCAAGCCCUCAUGGCCCUUAUGGGUAGGGCUUCACACGUCAUACAAUGGACGGUACAGAGGGUUGCCAACCCGCGAGGGGGAGCCAAUCCCAGAAAGCCGUUCGUAGUCCGGAUCGCAGUCUGCAACUCGACUGCGUG
RNAcentral lists this ribosomal RNA (540 nucleotides) under uncultured bacterium. RNAcentral's name for it is "bacterial SSU rRNA". It matches the Rfam family "Bacterial small subunit ribosomal RNA", at positions 777 to 1322 of the family's 1533-position model. The record is from RNAcentral.